CCCUACGGGGCGCAGCAGUGGGGAAUAUUGGGCAAUGGGCGCAAGCCUGACCCAGCAACGCCGCGUGAAGGAAGAAGGCUUUCGGGUUGUAAACUUCUUUUCUCAGGGACGAAGCAAGUGACGGUACCUGAGGAAUAAGCCACGGCUAACUACGUGCCAGCGGCCGCGGUAAUACGUAGGGAGCAAGCGUUAUCCGGAUUUACUGGGUGUAAAGGGCGUGUAGGCGGGCCUGCAAGUCAGAAGUGAAAUCUGGGGGCUUAA
Molecule: ribosomal RNA, 261 nt
Filed under: uncultured bacterium
Lineage: Bacteria
Description: partial 16S ribosomal RNA
Rfam family: Bacterial small subunit ribosomal RNA
Source: RNAcentral